CUACGGGCGGCACCAGUGGGGAAUAUUGGACAAUGGGGGAAACCCUGAUCCAGCAAUGCCGCGUGUGUGAAGAAGGCCUGCGGGUUGUAAAGCACUUUCGGUUGGGAGGACUGCCUCUAGCACUAAUAUUGUUGGAAGUUGACGUUACCUUCAGAAGAAGCACCGGCUAACUCCGUGCCAGCAGCCGCGGUAAUACGGAGGGUGCAAGCGUUAAUCGGAAUUACUGGGCGUAAAGCGCGCGUAGGCGGCUAGAUCAGUCGGGUGUGAAAGCCCCGGGCUUAACCUGGGAACUGCAUCCGAUACUGUCUAGCUUGAGUACAGGAGAGGAGAGUGGAAUUCCACAUGUAGCGGUGAAAUGCGUAGAUAUGUGGAGGAACACCAAUGGCGAAGGCAGCUCUCUGGCCUGAUACUGACGCUGAGGUGCGAAAGCAUGGGGAGCAAACAGGAUUAGAUACCCCAGUAGUC
Molecule: ribosomal RNA, 465 nt
Filed under: uncultured bacterium
Lineage: Bacteria
Description: partial 16S ribosomal RNA
Rfam family: Bacterial small subunit ribosomal RNA
Source: RNAcentral